This 71-nucleotide transfer RNA is filed under the name Callithrix jacchus (white-tufted-ear marmoset). It matches the Rfam family "tRNA". Rfam says of the family: Transfer RNA (tRNA) molecules are approximately 80 nucleotides in length. Their secondary structure includes four short double-helical elements and three loops (D, anti-codon, and T loops). Further hydrogen bonds mediate the characteristic L-shaped molecular structure. tRNAs have two regions of fundamental functional importance: the anti-codon, which is responsible for specific mRNA codon recognition, and the 3' end, to which the tRNAs corresponding amino acid is attached (by aminoacyl-tRNA synthetases). tRNAs cope with the degeneracy of the genetic code in two manners: having more than one tRNA (with a specific anti-codon) for a particular amino acid; and 'wobble' base-pairing, i.e. permitting non-standard base-pairing at the 3rd anti-codon position. The record is from Rfam by way of RNAcentral. Lineage: Eukaryota; Metazoa; Chordata; Mammalia; Primates; Cebidae.
GUUAAUAUAGCUUAAUCAUUCAAAGCAAGACACUGAAAAUGUCUAGAUGGGUUCACACAACCCUAUAAACA